RNAcentral lists this ribosomal RNA (253 nucleotides) under uncultured bacterium. RNAcentral describes it as "partial 16S ribosomal RNA". It matches the Rfam family "Bacterial small subunit ribosomal RNA", at positions 524 to 776 of the family's 1533-position model. The record is from RNAcentral.
UACGGAGGAUCCAAGCGUUAUCCGGAUUCACUGGGUUUAAAGGGUGCGUAGGUGGGCAGGUAAGUCAGUGGUGAAAUCUCUGGGCUUAACCCAGAAACUGCCGUUGAUACUAUCUGUCUUGAAUAUAGAGGAGGUGAGCGGAAUAUGUCAUGUAGCGGUGAAAUGCUUAGAUAUGACAUAGAACAUCGAUUGCGAAGGCAGCUCGCUACACUAUUAUUGACACUGAGGCACGAAAGCGUGGGGAUCAAACAGG